This is a long non-coding RNA of Rhipicephalus sanguineus (brown dog tick), 331 nucleotides long. RefSeq lists it as uncharacterized. The record is from RefSeq and is a predicted model, not a curated record. The transcript is spliced from 2 exons. Lineage: Eukaryota; Metazoa; Arthropoda; Arachnida; Ixodida; Ixodidae.
GCAUGGAGGAAAGAAACAAAGAGGUUUACAAUUUCAUUUCUCAUUACAUAGUGCACUUAUCGAUGCCUGAUGUUGUGAGAAAAUACCCCGUACGCCUCAGCAAAGCUUGCCGAACCAGGAUCUCGAGAAGCUGCGGUAUCUGCCAGUUCCUGUGGUGUUUCCAACCCUGACAUAGCAGAAGAAUGCAGCAGUCACUUUUAUUUGUGAUGGUCUCAUUCUUCAUGUUUUCCAAGUGAAAAGCAACUUUGCUAAAGUUUUAAUGUACAUUUAAGCUCCUAGUCAAUUGCAAAACUAGCAACAUUUUUUCGAAAUAAAUUGUUCAGCAUGUUCA